RNAcentral lists this transfer RNA (70 nucleotides) under Endozoicomonas sp. G2_1. It matches the Rfam family "tRNA". Rfam says of the family: Transfer RNA (tRNA) molecules are approximately 80 nucleotides in length. The record is from Rfam by way of RNAcentral. Lineage: Bacteria; Pseudomonadati; Pseudomonadota; Gammaproteobacteria; Oceanospirillales; Endozoicomonadaceae.
UAUUAAGUAGCUCAGGGGUAGAGCAGCGAAGAGAUUUCGUUAGACAUGGGUUCGAAUCCCAUCUCAAUAA